UAGCAAAUCACAUCAUUGACUAAAAUUCUUAUCACCACCACCAGGAGCAAAGGAGGGAAUAAGACUACAGUUUGUUGAUGAAGUCAGAAGUACGAACUCAUAUUCAGGUCCCUUGUAGCACCAGGAUGGGAAGCUAUGAGUAGCAGACACAUUGGUUUCUAGAAGAAAGCGCAGGAAACCACCGAAAAGGGGAAUAGAGGAAUGCAAAAGAAAAAAAGUUGCCUAAGAUAAAAUUGCACUGAGUCAAUUCGUAACAACAUCAAUAGGAGGGUGAAUCAGGACCAGUGCAAUAAAUCACCCUCAAUACUUCCUGUGAAUGGCAACUGCUGAAGGGAAGCUUCUGCCUCUCAUCAUACACUGCCUCAGGGGGGAACAAAAUAGAUCAUUACAAUGGAGGCCAAAGAGUGCUUGAAUGUCUCUGCCGAAGGCUUUCAAUAAAUAUUUGUUGAAAAAGAAAGGAAGAAAGAAAAUGAAGAAGGAACGAAGGAGGAAAGGAAAGAAGGAAAGAAGGAAGGAAGGAGUUAAUGAAGACUCAAGGAUGUUCUGCUCUGAUUGGCAGGGAGAGUUUGAAGGUGGGUUGGCAGAGACUGUGACCGCAACUGACUGCGUUCUGCAGAAUUAUGGUAAUGAAAUUGGAAGCCAACUUUCGUGAAGCAGAAAGCCUCAAGUUUCCAGGUGCUGUGCUCAGUCCAGGAAUACAAUGAUGAAUACGAUCAAGGCCCUUUCAGAGCUGACACACACUAUACAUAAUGCAUCAAAAAUUGCGUUCUCGCUAUAUUUCUGUUUAUUUGGUUUUAUCUGCAAGAAUAUAGAUAGCAUCUGCUUUGAUAUAAAACUUUUAUGUGUCUUAUGUAGUUGAUUUGUAAAUGUCCUAUCUAUAAAUAUAAAACAAUAAAUUACUAGUUACAGUUAACUUAGGAAAACUUUUAAUCAUGUCCUACAUUUUACACCUUGUAAUUUCUACCAAAUGUUUGUAUUUUUAUGUCUUAUUAAAUAUAAUAAAUAUUUGUCUUAACAUAUUUUAAUAGAAUUCCUCAUAUGUUUUGCAGAAAGCUAAUUAUGGUUUUC
RNAcentral lists this long non-coding RNA (1068 nucleotides) under Homo sapiens (human). Its description in RNAcentral is "HSALNT0125114". The record is from RNAcentral. Lineage: Eukaryota; Metazoa; Chordata; Mammalia; Primates; Hominidae.